Molecule: ribosomal RNA, 228 nt
Filed under: uncultured bacterium
Lineage: Bacteria
Description: partial 16S ribosomal RNA
Rfam family: Bacterial small subunit ribosomal RNA
Source: RNAcentral
UAGGCAGCAGUGGGGAAUAUUGCACAAUGGGCGCAAGCCUGAUGCAGCGACGCCGCGUGAGGGAUGACGGCCUUCGGGUUGUAAACCUCUUUCAGUAGGGAAGAAGCGAAAGUGACGGUACCUGCAGAAGAAGCGCCGGCUAACUACGUGCCAGCAGCCGCGGUAAUACGUAGGGCGCAAGCGUUAUCCGGAAUUAUUGGGCGUAAAGAGCUCGUAGGCGGUUUGUCG